GUCACAGAAGCCGCAGCAUCACAGCCGCCAGCGCCCAUCAUCGCCAGCGCCCCUCCACCCGGCUAACCAAAGAGCGCACUGGAGGCGGAGGGGCAGCAGCCACCAGCCCGCUCCCCGCCCCCCGGACAGAGCCUCCGUCAGCAUGGGGGUGACAGGUGUCAAUGCAUUCCCAUGCUGUGGCAAAAAUUCUGUGGACAUCGUGGAAAGAACGAGUGACCACCACCAUCAGCCCCACACCCCUAAAGAAAAGGAGGAGGACGAAACAGAGCUGGAAGAACAGUUGCCCAAGAAGGAGUCCCUACCCGAAGUGCUCCCAGAUCCAGGCCCAGUACCACAGCUGGAGGAGAUGGGACCAGUGGUAGACUCUAAGCCCACACCUGAGCCUGAGGGAGACUACUUCACUGAAAGCCUGGAGCAGAAAGGCUACAGGAUCGAAUCUCUCAAGCCCUAUGAGGAAGAACGGCAUUCCAGAACCUGGAGCUUCAAUGCAAACUCAAGCAACAGGGAAGAGGAGCAGGUGUCCACCACCCAGUUCCGCUCCAUCCGCGUGCAGACCUCCAAACACCUCUUCUGGGCGAACAAGCUCAUCCAGGCGUCGGAGCACAGCCUCCAGCAGGCCUUGGAAAAACAUCGCAAGAGCCCCCGGGAAAGGAAGUCUGUCUGCAUCUCCCAGGUUCUCACAGACUGCGCCCCGCGACCACCAAGCCCCUGUCUAUCUUGCUCCAGCCUGCCCACAGCCAUUGGCCUGGCAGAUCUGAUCAACUUUGCGUCCUCUCUGGCUGUAGCCUCCUCCAGCCACAAGGAAGUACCUAAUUUAGAAAAUAUGAUCAAAGCUACAUCCGAGAAGUUGCAAGAGACACCUAUAGACCUUUGCCAGCCAGUCCAGUCCAUCAAGUUUGCCCAGGCUACCCAGAUCACCCAGAUAACCUCCGAGAAGCAAGAGAAGUCAUUUGAAGACAUGACAACUCAGAAAUCUUGGACUCCAGAAACCAGUAAUGUAGCUUGCUCUUACCUAGAUUUUAGCAAGACAGGGCUCAAGAAUGCCACCAUCCAAGGGGAAGUGAAGUUUGUCCAGGCACCAGCCAAGUCCUCCCAGCUUCAGGAAGCCAAUGAGCAGCAGAGGCCAGAAGACCAAGAGACCCUCAUCGACACUGAGAAGGCCUCCACAGAAGCCUCGGAGUCUCCUCACACGAGAGGAGCCGGCUGGCAGGGUGCAGAAAGGGAGGCUGCAGCUGCAGACGGGCCAGCUGCCUCAGUCAGAGCUAGCAGCCAUGGCCACAAAGGAGGAGCAGACCAUACUGAGGGCAAGAGAAUUUAAGGACCCUGAAGCUACCCAUCCAUAUUGGCCAGGCCCAGACACCAAGUCUCAGAGUUCGGCCGAUGAUAGCAUGGUACCCCUGACACCCCGGCAGCUGGCAGCCUUCCAGGAUAUCUUCAAACUGUUCAGCUGCAGCCCCACGGGCACCGUGGACAUGCAUAGCAUGAAGGUUGCCCUGCGCAAUGUGGGUAUCCAG
This is an RNA transcript of Peromyscus maniculatus bairdii (prairie deer mouse), 1514 nucleotides long. It is a transcript of the gene named spermatogenesis associated 32, with no coding region annotated. The record is from RefSeq and is a predicted model, not a curated record. Lineage: Eukaryota; Metazoa; Chordata; Mammalia; Rodentia; Cricetidae.